GGCCAUGGCAAAAGUGCCGGGAGGCGCUUCUUCUCUCGCCAACGAAAGUAGGAUUACGCUUGAUUUUCACUCUCUGUGUUUUCGAUUACAUUUAAUAAUCCAUUAAUAUUAGGGGUUGCUUGACGACAUUUCUCGUAUCCGGUCAAACGAAAAAAAUAUGUGACCAGCAAGAAAAUACGUAGAGAUUUUCCUUAUUCAUGGACAUGCAUGAAUGCCAUGAGUCUGAGGCUAACGAGGAAGAGACGCGGCUGGAAUAAGCACGAGGAGCGGUCCUUUGUGCGUGCAAAAUUGAACAACAAGACGAGAAACGUUAGUCUUACUGCAAAAUGAAUGUUUCAUUUAU
Molecule: long non-coding RNA, 343 nt
Organism: Apis dorsata (giant honeybee)
Lineage: Eukaryota; Metazoa; Arthropoda; Insecta; Hymenoptera; Apidae
Exons: 3
Source: RefSeq, a predicted model, not a curated record